UACGAAGGUGGCAAGCGUUGUUCGGAUUUACUGGGCGUACAGGGAGCGUAGGCGGUUGGAUAAGCCCUCCGUGAAAUCUCCAGGCUUAACCUGGAAAGUGCAGAGGGGACUGUUCAGCUAGAGGAUGGGAGAGGAGCGCGGAAUUCCCGGUGUAGCGGUGAAAUGCGUAGAGAUCGGGAGGAAGGCCGGUGGCGAAGGCGGCUACCUGGACCAGCACUGACACUGAGGCACGAAAGCGUGGGGAGCAAACAGG
This 253-nucleotide ribosomal RNA is filed under the name uncultured bacterium. RNAcentral describes it as "partial 16S ribosomal RNA". It matches the Rfam family "Bacterial small subunit ribosomal RNA", at positions 524 to 776 of the family's 1533-position model. The record is from RNAcentral.